AAAAUUCCAACUUUCAAAAUUAUCUGGAAUAUGAAAUUUUUCUUUUCUUCGACAUUUCGGACGUCGGAACACCUACAAUGAAAACGAUACGUAAUAAGUCAAGUCGAAAUCGUUUUAUUUCAUUUUCACGCCAAAAACAACAAAAACGCUCUCCAAAUCAGAACUGACCCACAGGUGUUGUUGGGGCCAAUACAACCACCACCACAGCAACAACGACAACUACAAUGGAGGACAUCGGAUUAGCCGCAGCAUUCGAAUAUGAGCGAAAGAAAUAAGUACAAGCUAUUGUUGUCGGGAUAAACGGGUUCUACGCCUGAAAAUUUGUUACGGGCAUUUAGCAAAACAAGAGGUGGUGGGGAGUUGAACCUAUUGGAAAGAGAACAGAUUCUAUGUUGAUAUGACCCACAACAAAUGCCCUCCUGAAGACAACAUUUGUUAGCAGCACAUCUAAAAUAUGAAAAUGGACAUGAAUAAAAUCUGUAGAACUGUUUGCUGGAAAUGGAACACGUGGUCAGAAGGAUUCCAGCUCUAUCGGCUAGCCACAUUUCCAAUUUGUUUCCAGCCCUAUCGGUUCACCGAAAUCCAAAUUAUACCAAAUUAAGUACCAUUUAGCGCACAUAAGUACGUAUUCCUACAUGCCUCAAUCCUACACUUCCACAGUAAUUCUAAU
Musca domestica (house fly) is the source of this 670-nucleotide long non-coding RNA. RefSeq lists it as uncharacterized. The record is from RefSeq and is a predicted model, not a curated record. The transcript is spliced from 3 exons. NCBI's taxonomy places the organism in Eukaryota, Metazoa, Arthropoda, Insecta, Diptera, Muscidae.